This 359-nucleotide long non-coding RNA is filed under the name Phoenix dactylifera (date palm). RNAcentral's name for it is "long non-coding RNA (PDAC_LNC010068)". Lineage: Eukaryota; Viridiplantae; Streptophyta; Magnoliopsida; Arecales; Arecaceae. The record is from RNAcentral.
GAUCGUUUAGAAGAAAAUGUCGCUUAUCCCUCGCGGCUGGGGUUUUGGGUCGAGCAUCUUCGAUCCCUGGGAUCCCUUCGAGGGCUUCCCGUUCGACACCUCCCUCUCCUCCUUCCCUCGUCUUUCCCUUCCUAGUGACUCGUCCGCCUUCGCCAACGCCCGCAUCGACUGGAAGGAGACCCCGGAGGCCCACGUCUUCAAGGCCGACCUCCCUGGCGUCAAAAAGGAGGAGCUGAAGGUGGAGGUGGAGGAGGGAAACCUCCUCCAGAUCAGCGGCGAGCGGAGCCGGGAGCAGGAGGAAAAGACCGACACGUGGCACCGCGUCGAGAGGAGCAGCGGCAAGUUCUUGAGGCGGUUCC